GUUAUUGAGGUUCUAACUUGGUCCAGUAAUCCUGGAUGAGGACAGUGUAUGAUGGGUAGUUUGACUGGGGCGGUCUCCUCCCAAAGAGUAACGGAGGAGCACAAAGGUACCCUCGGUACGGUCGGACAUCGUACCAAGAGUGUAAAGGCAAAAGGGUGCUUGACUGCGAGAGUGACGGCUCGAGCAGGAACGAAAGUUGGUCUUAGUGAUCCGGUGGUUCUGAAUGGAAGGGCCAUCGCUCAACGGAUAAAAGGUACUCCGGGGAUAACAGGCUGAUACCGCCCAAGAGUUCAUAUCGACGGCGGUGUUUGGCACCUCGAUGUCGGCUCAUCACAUCCUGGGGCUGAAGCAGGUCCCAAGGGUAUGGCUGUUCGCCAUUUAAAGUGGUACGCGAGCUGGGUUUAGAACGUCGUGAGACAGUUCGGUCCCUAUCUGCCGUGGGCGUAGGAAAAUUGAGAGGAGCUGCUCCUAGUACGAGAGGACCGGAGUGGACGAACCUCUGGUGCACCGGUUGUCACGCCAGUGGCAUGGCCGGGUAGCUAAGUUCGGACGGGAUAACCGCUGAAAGCAUCUAAGCGGGAAGCCUCCCUCAAGAUGAGUUUUCCCAUGAAGCCCGUUGAAGACUACGACGUUGAUAGGCAAGGUGUGGAAGCGCAGUAAUGCGUGAAGCUAACUUGUACUAAUUGGCUGAUUGUCUUGACCAUAUAAUCUGAG
RNAcentral lists this ribosomal RNA (714 nucleotides) under Legionella pneumophila. RNAcentral's name for it is "partial 23S ribosomal RNA". It matches the Rfam family "Bacterial large subunit ribosomal RNA", at positions 2210 to 2925 of the family's 2925-position model. Lineage: Bacteria; Pseudomonadati; Pseudomonadota; Gammaproteobacteria; Legionellales; Legionellaceae. The record is from RNAcentral.